Molecule: long non-coding RNA, 424 nt
Organism: Chlorocebus sabaeus (green monkey)
Lineage: Eukaryota; Metazoa; Chordata; Mammalia; Primates; Cercopithecidae
Source: RefSeq, a predicted model, not a curated record
GGAAGCGUCAUCAAAGGGUCAAGAGCCCAGUGGGGGGUCCUCAGGGACUGUGAGCUUUCUCUCAGCAGUGGUCCCUCCCUCUGGAGGCCCUCAGAUUCCCCUCCUCCCACCCCGCCCCCUCCAGAGAUCUCCAAGCACACCAGGACUUAGGGAAGAUGGAGCCCUGGUGGCGGGGCCCAGAUAAGGGCAUGUUUGGAGCCUGGCUGUGUGACCUUGGACAGACCUUGUCUCCCUAAAAGCCAAGGCCCAGAAGAUCAUACGAGAAAUUCCCUCUUUUAUGAUUUCGCGUGCACGAAGUGGCCUUCUGGUGGUGAGAUGGAGAGAAAUUGAUAGUGGCGACAGACAGCAAAGUCUCCAGGAGCCAGACUUCCUCGGGGGAUGUUGCCCAAACUGGACUCGAACUCCUAGACUCCAGCGAUCCUCC